GAUGAACGCUAGCUACAGGCUUAACACAUGCAAGUCGAGGGGAAACGAUAGAGAAAGCUUGCUUUUUCUAGGCGUCGACCGGCGCACGGGUGAGUAACGCGUAUCCAACCUGCCCACCACUUGGGGAUAACCUUGCGAAAGUAAGACUAAUACCCAAUGAUAUCUCAAGAAGACAUCUGAAUGAGAUUAAAGAUUUAUCGGUGAUGGAUGGGGAUGCGUCUGAUUAGCUUGUUGGCGGGGCAACGGCCCACCAAGGCGACGAUCAGUAGGGGUUAUGAGAGGAAGGUCCCCCACAUUGGAACUGAGACACGGUCCAAACUCCUACGGGAGGCAGCAGUGAGGAAUAUUGGUCAAUGGGCGAGAGCCUGAACCAGCCAAGUAGCGUGCAGGAUGACGGCCCUAUGGGUUGUAAACUGCUUUUAUAAGGGAAUAAAGUGAGUCUCGUGAGGCUUUUUGCAUGUACCUUAUGAAUAAGGACCGACUAAUUCCGUGCCAGCCGCCGCGGUAA
This 508-nucleotide ribosomal RNA is filed under the name uncultured bacterium. RNAcentral's name for it is "partial 16S ribosomal RNA". It matches the Rfam family "Bacterial small subunit ribosomal RNA", at positions 28 to 523 of the family's 1533-position model. The record is from RNAcentral.